UUCAGUGUGUGAACCAAGCUGACCUGGAUCCUGCAGCAGUCUCCUACCUCUGCAUGCCUCGGGAAUGCUGGCAUAAUAGGCACGUGAUAUCAUACUUGGACUUAGUUAUUUGUUUUUCGGUCCUUGUUUGUUUGAGACCCAGUCUUGCAUAGUUUUGGCUAGCCUCAAACUCUCGAUCUUUCUGCUUUAUCCUCCUGGAACUACUUAUGUCCCGGCCCUGCUCAGCCUCAUCAUAGAAGCCUUUUCCUGCAAGGAAUAAAUACAGGAACCCACAGCCAGACAAUAUGCACAGCACGAGAGACCUCUGAACAUCGAGCCUGAAAUGGGAUGUUUCCAUCAAACCCACCCCCUCGGGCCACAGAAGGCCACAGAAGAGGAGGCAGGAAGAAUGUAAGAGUCAAAGAGGAUAGAGGAUACCUUUAAACACAGUGCCACCGAAGCACAUGUGAACUCACAUAGACUGAAGCAACAUGCACAGGGCCUGCGUGGUGAUUUGCACCAGAUGAGACCUGCGUGAUGAUGUGCACCAGAUGAGACCCUAGAACUGAAGGGAGGAGUGGACACCUGCCCCCAUCCCGAACCCAGAAGAAUCCCCGACUGAUUACCACUUGCAGAUGAAAAAUUAGUUGUCUCUAGGACAGUCUCACUGAGGAAAUAAACUACUUUAAGGGUAAUGUGAGACCAAAACAGGAAAAAUAUACCUCGCAGGUGAAGAGUUCUGUGUAGUUUUAAAAAUAAAUCCCUGUUUGUCCUA
Non-coding RNA from Peromyscus maniculatus bairdii (prairie deer mouse), 754 nucleotides. The record is from RefSeq and is a predicted model, not a curated record. NCBI's taxonomy places the organism in Eukaryota, Metazoa, Chordata, Mammalia, Rodentia, Cricetidae.